GCCUUCAUGGUGUAGCGGUCAGCAUGCUUGACGCGUAUUUGAAAGAUUCGUGGUUCGAAUCCCGGUGAUGGCA
This 73-nucleotide transfer RNA is filed under the name Stegodyphus mimosarum. It matches the Rfam family "tRNA". Rfam says of the family: Transfer RNA (tRNA) molecules are approximately 80 nucleotides in length. Their secondary structure includes four short double-helical elements and three loops (D, anti-codon, and T loops). Lineage: Eukaryota; Metazoa; Arthropoda; Arachnida; Araneae; Eresidae. The record is from Rfam by way of RNAcentral.